AAGAUUAGAACACAGCAAACAAGGACCUCUUGCCUACUGCUUACAAGCUCAUUAAGCUAACGAAACCUAAUCAACGUCAUGAUCGUGUAAUUGAACUUAGACAACGUAACACAGUGAGAGGGCAUUAACUUCGGCUCAUUAACUCAACUAGACAAGUUCGUAGCAGCAAGGCCUCGUACGCGCCUCUAUCGGCUCAAUGAUGUCAUCAUGCUUCCGUGAG
RNAcentral lists this long non-coding RNA (220 nucleotides) under Setaria viridis. RNAcentral describes it as "long non-coding RNA (SVIR_LNC003923)". Lineage: Eukaryota; Viridiplantae; Streptophyta; Magnoliopsida; Poales; Poaceae. The record is from RNAcentral.